GACGAACGCUGGCGGCGUGCUUAACACAUGCAAGUCGAACGGAAAGGCCUGCUUUCCCUUGUGGAUUGCGGGUACUCGAGUGGCGAACGGGUGAGUAACACGUGAGUGAUCUGCCCCCAACUUGGGUAUAAGCCUGGGAAACUGGGUCUAAUUCCCGAUAGGACUGCAGGGUGGUGCCUGUGGUGGAAAACGAUUUUCUAGUGGUUGGGGAUGAGCUCGCGGCCUAUCAGCUUGUUGGUGGGGUAAUGGCCUACCAAGGCGGCGACGGGUAGCCGGCCUGAGAGGGUGGACGGCCACAUUGGGACUGAGAUACGGCCCAGACUCCUACGGGAGGCAGCAGUGGGGAAUAUUGCACAAUGGCCGGAAGCCUGAUGCAGCGACGCCGCGUGGGGGAUGACGGCCUUCGGGUUGUAAACUCCUUUCGACCGCGAGGAAGCCACCUGGUUGGAAGGGUGGUGACGGUAGUGGUAGAAGAAGCACCGGCUAACUACGUG
This 494-nucleotide ribosomal RNA is filed under the name uncultured bacterium. RNAcentral's name for it is "partial 16S ribosomal RNA". It matches the Rfam family "Bacterial small subunit ribosomal RNA", at positions 28 to 507 of the family's 1533-position model. The record is from RNAcentral.